RNAcentral lists this ribosomal RNA (490 nucleotides) under uncultured bacterium. Its description in RNAcentral is "partial 16S ribosomal RNA". It matches the Rfam family "Bacterial small subunit ribosomal RNA", at positions 30 to 507 of the family's 1533-position model. The record is from RNAcentral.
AUUGAACGCUGGCGGCAUGCUUUACACAUGCAAGUCGAACGGCAGCACGAAAGAGCUUGCUCUUUUGGUGGCGAGUGGCGAACGGGUGAGUAAUGCAUCGGAACGUACCGAGUAAUGGGGGAUAACUGUCCGAAAGGAUAGCUAAUACCGCAUACGCUUUGAGAAGGAAAGUGGGGGCUCUUCGGACCUCACGUUAUUCGAGCGGCCGAUGUCUGAUUAGCUAGUUGGUGGGGUAAAGGCCUACCAAGGCGACGAUCAGUAGCGGGUCUGAGAGGAUGAUACGCCACACUGGGACUGAGACACGGCCCAGACUCCUACGGGAGGCAGCAGUGGGGAAUUUUGGACAAUGGGCGCAAGCCUGAUCCAGCCAUGCCGCGUGUCUGAAGAAGGCCUUCGGGUUGUAAAGGACUUUUGUUAGGGAAGAAAAGGAUAGUGUUAAUACCAUUAUCUGCUGACGGUACCUAAAGAAUAAGCACCGGCUAACUACGUG